CUUUGAUUCGUCAGGGUUGACAAUUAGCCAAGAGGAAUUAUAUAUUGCAAGAUGGCAGCAACAGAAUCUAAAGAAGAGAUUUAGCUAAUUGUCAACCCUGACGAAUCAAAGCAAUUGUGAACCCUUACGAAUCAAACUAGUUACAAUGCAUUAACAUAAAAUGGAGCAAAACUUCAAAAGGCAAUAACAAAACUUGAAAAGGCAGUCUUGAAUUUAAAAUUUCUUUUUGGGAAUAAUGAGUAGUGGUUUUUCCUUCUGCAGUGUUAUGCCAAAUUUAUCAUUCAUGUCUAGCUUUGCAGGAUCAUCAUCAUUUUCAAAAGACCAAUCAAAGUAAUGUAUUAAAUUGGCUAAAAUCAAUGGAAUUUGCCUUAUAGCCAUGGGUAGACCUGGACAAAUUCGCCUUCCUGAACCAAAAGGUAUUAGCUCAAAAUCAUGACCUUUCAAGUCUAAACUUGAUCCGAGAAACCUUUCAGGCUUAAAUGACAAAGGCUCUUCCCAAACUGAAGGAUCGCGUCCAAUUGCCCAAACAUUGACAAAUACUUGACUAUCUUUUGGAAUUGUAUAAUUCAUAACUUCAAAUGUCUCAAGAGCUCGAUGUGGAAGGAGGAAUGGAAAGGUGCAGGAGGAUGUAAUCUCAUUGUUUCCUUUAAAAGUGCAUUUAAAUAUGGAAGUUGAGAAACUUCAGAUUCAUGUAUUGAGCCUUUGUUGAUUACCUUGUCUAGCUCUUCCCCAAGUUUUUCCAAGACUCGUUUGUUCUUGAGAAUCUCAGCCA
RNAcentral lists this unclassified non-coding RNA (772 nucleotides) under Hevea brasiliensis (rubber tree). Lineage: Eukaryota; Viridiplantae; Streptophyta; Magnoliopsida; Malpighiales; Euphorbiaceae. The record is from RNAcentral.